RNAcentral lists this ribosomal RNA (397 nucleotides) under uncultured bacterium. RNAcentral's name for it is "partial 16S ribosomal RNA". It matches the Rfam family "Bacterial small subunit ribosomal RNA", at positions 523 to 918 of the family's 1533-position model. The record is from RNAcentral.
AUACGUAGGGGGCGAGCGUUGUCCGGAAUGAUUGGGCGUAAAGGGCGCGUAGGCGGCCCGGUAAGUCUGGAGUGAAAGUCCUGUUUUUAAGAUGGGACUUGCUUUGGAUACUGUCGGGCUUGAGUGCAGGAGAGGUAAGUGGAAUUCACCGUGUAGCGGUGAAAUGCGUAGAGAUUGGGAGGAACACCAGUGGCGAAGGCGACUUACUGGACUGUAACUGACGCUGAGGCGCGAAAGUGUGGGGAGCAAACAGGAUUAGAUACCCUGGUAGUCCACACUGUAAACGAUGAAUGCUAGGUGUAGGGGGUAUCGACCCCUUCUGUGCCGCAGUCAACACAAUAAGCAUUCCGCCUGGGGAGUACAGCCGCAAGGUUGAAACUCAAAGGAAUUGACGGGG